UACGGAGGGGGCAAGUGUUGUUCGGAAUUACUGGGCGUAAAGGGCGCGCAGGCGGCUUGGCAAGUCGAGUGUGAAAUACCUCAGCUUAACUGAGGAACGGCGCUCGAAACUACCUCGCUUGAGGGCGGGAGAGGGAAGUGGAACUCUCGGUGUAGGGGUGAAAUCUGUAGAUAUCGAGAGGAACACCGGUGGCGAAGGCGGCUUCCUGGCCCGUACCUGACGCUGAGGUGCGAAAGCGUGGGGAGCAAACAGG
Molecule: ribosomal RNA, 253 nt
Filed under: uncultured bacterium
Lineage: Bacteria
Description: partial 16S ribosomal RNA
Rfam family: Bacterial small subunit ribosomal RNA
Source: RNAcentral